Molecule: ribosomal RNA, 1344 nt
Filed under: Yersinia enterocolitica
Lineage: Bacteria; Pseudomonadati; Pseudomonadota; Gammaproteobacteria; Enterobacterales; Yersiniaceae
Description: partial 23S ribosomal RNA
Rfam family: Bacterial large subunit ribosomal RNA
Source: RNAcentral
AUGGGGAAACCCAGUGCAAUUCGUUGCACUAUUGCAUGGUGAAUACAUAGCCAUGCAAGGCGAACCGGGGGAACUGAAACAUCUAAGUACCCCGAGGAAAAGAAAUCAACCGAGAUUCCCCCAGUAGCGGCGAGCGAACGGGGAGGAGCCCAGAACCUGAAUCAGCGUAUGUGUUAGUGGAAGCGUCUGGAAAGUCGCACGGUACAGGGUGAUAGUCCCGUACACAAAAAUGCAUAUGUUGUGAGUUCGAUGAGUAGGGCGGGACACGUGACAUCCUGUCUGAAUAUGGGGGGACCAUCCUCCAAGGCUAAAUACUCCUGACUGACCGAUAGUGAACCAGUACCGUGAGGGAAAGGCGAAAAGAACCCCGGCGAGGGGAGUGAAAUAGAACCUGAAACCGUGUACGUACAAGCAGUGGGAGCACCUUCGUGGUGUGACUGCGUACCUUUUGUAUAAUGGGUCAGCGACUUAUAUUUUGUAGCAAGGUUAACCGAAUAGGGGAGCCGUAGGGAAACCGAGUCUUAACUGGGCGAAUAGUUGCAAGGUAUAGACCCGAAACCCGGUGAUCUAGCCAUGGGCAGGUUGAAGGUUGGGUAACACUAACUGGAGGACCGAACCGACUAAUGUUGAAAAAUUAGCGGAUGACUUGUGGCUGGGGGUGAAAGGCCAAUCAAACCGGGAGAUAGCUGGUUCUCCCCGAAAGCUAUUUAGGUAGCGCCUCGUGAACUCAUCUUCGGGGGUAGAGCACUGUUUCGGCUAGGGGGUCAUCCCGACUUACCAAACCGAUGCAAACUCCGAAUACCGAAGAAUGUUAUCACGGGAGACACACGGCGGGUGCUAACGUCCGUCGUGAAGAGGGAAACAACCCAGACCGCCAGCUAAGGUCCCAAAGUCAUGGUUAAGUGGGAAACGAUGUGGGAAGGCAUAGACAGCCAGGAUGUUGGCUUAGAAGCAGCCAUCAUUUAAAGAAAGCGUAAUAGCUCACUGGUCGAGUCGGCCUGCGCGGAAGAUGUAACGGGGCUAAACCAUGCACCGAAGCUGCGGCAGCGACACUUAGGUGUUGUUGGGUAGGGGAGCGUUCUGUAAGCCGUUGAAGGUGACCUGUGAGGGUUGCUGGAGGUAUCAGAAGUGCGAAUGCUGACAUAAGUAACGAUAAUGCGGGUGAAAAACCCGCACGCCGGAAGACCAAGGGUUCCUGUCCAACGUUAAUCGGGGCAGGGUGAGUCGACCCCUAAGGCGAGGCUGAAAAGCGUAGUCGAUGGGAAACAGGUUAAUAUUCCUGUACUUGGUGUUACUGCGAAGGGGGGACGGAGAAGGCUAGGCUAGCCGGGCGACGGUUGUCCC